This 199-nucleotide long non-coding RNA is filed under the name Lathyrus oleraceus (garden pea). Its description in RNAcentral is "Pisum sativum (pea) long non-coding RNA (PSAT_LNC028008)". The record is from RNAcentral. Lineage: Eukaryota; Viridiplantae; Streptophyta; Magnoliopsida; Fabales; Fabaceae.
CCUCGAGAACGUUGAUGACCGUUAGGGUCAUGACCGUUACCCCCCCACCUUUUUAUUUUCCCCAUUCAUUCAUCUCUUUACUCCAUUCCGCUCACAUUCAUCCACAUUUAUUUUCCUCUCACCCACUCCUCUUCCCACUUCCAAAACUUUUCCUAUAAAUACCUACAAUCCAUUUCUCCCUACACCACAUCAUUCCAAC